GGUAUAGCAACUGAAGGAUGUUGCUGGUUUGAUAAAAAAACAUUGGUUUGUAUAGAACACUUGCAAAUAUAUUUUCAGUAGUAAAUGUGAGCUUGCGGCGCAGACCGCUACUGGGAGUUGUAAUUUUAUUUGUGUUGUUUUCUUAUUUAGUCACUAGGUGGUGUGCCAUACGUUAUGCAAACAAGUUGCCUCGCUUUGUUUACGUUUUGGACUUGCCAGUUUGCGCGCCGAAUCCGAAACGAUGUCCUCGCAGCAGGUUCGGCGGCUGGGUCCUCAUGUUUCAGAGAGGCAGCGCGAGAUACUGGUGUCAUUUGUUGAAGAGCACCCCUACCUUGCAAAGGCGUCGUGUGUGCUGGGUCAACAGCUGACGGCGGCGCGCAAGGAGGAGCUCUGGCAGCAAGUGACUGCCUUGCUGAACACUGAGGGCCCGGCAGUGAAAACUGCAGCCCAAUGGCGCGGCGUGUGGAAAAAGGACGUCUAUAAGGCCCGCCGUGAUGCGGCCGCCUUGCACGCCGAAAGCAGGUAAGCACACUCGUUGACGGAGCUUUUGCGCACCAUAUUCUAACAAACGUGUUAAUCACAGAGGAACCGGAGGAGGCAGCCUGCCCGGACCGCGAGGGCGCGUCCUUUCCUUAGUUGGAAGGGCGAGCGCCAUCGGAGUCUGCCCGCCGUUCUUCGAGCCCGACGAAGAGGGGGAAAGCGCUGGUGACGCGGCAAGUGCUGAGUCCCAUGUGUCUGUCGGCACAGCGCCUGGGACAAGCGGCAUAAGAGCGAGACCACUCCAGCCCGCGACAGCGGAGAGGCGUCGGGAGGAUGCAGGUGGCCCUAGUAGUCAGACACGUAAGUGUACAACAGACGUCUUCACAAUUUUUUACUUACUUAUUGUGAACACAUACUUUUCAGAAACAUUGUCAUUACAGAACGUGCA
Molecule: non-coding RNA, 928 nt
Organism: Dermacentor andersoni
Lineage: Eukaryota; Metazoa; Arthropoda; Arachnida; Ixodida; Ixodidae
Source: RefSeq, a predicted model, not a curated record